Molecule: ribosomal RNA, 392 nt
Filed under: uncultured bacterium
Lineage: Bacteria
Description: bacterial SSU rRNA
Rfam family: Bacterial small subunit ribosomal RNA
Source: RNAcentral
GACGAACGCUGGCGGCGUGCUUAACACAUGCAAGUCGAGCGGUAAGGCCCUUUCGGGGGUACACGAGCGGCGAACGGGUGAGUAACACGUGGGUGACCUGCCCUUAGCUCUGGGAUAAGCCUGGGAAACUGGGUCUAAUACCGGAUAUGACUCCAUGACGCAUGUUGUGGGGUGGAAAGCCUUGUGCGGCUAGGGAUGGGCCCGCGGCCUAUCAGCUUGUUGGUGGGGUGAUGGCCUACCAAGGCGACGACGGGUAGCCGGCCUGAGAGGGCGACCGGCCACACUGGGACUGAGACACGGCCCAGACUCCUACGGGAGGCAGCAGUGGGGAAUCUUGCGCAAUGGGCGAAAGCCUGACGCAGCGACGCCGCGUGAGGGAUGACGGCCUCGGU